This 478-nucleotide ribosomal RNA is filed under the name uncultured bacterium. Its description in RNAcentral is "partial 16S ribosomal RNA". It matches the Rfam family "Bacterial small subunit ribosomal RNA", at positions 28 to 523 of the family's 1533-position model. The record is from RNAcentral.
GACGAACGCUGGCGGCGUGCUUAACACAUGCAAGUCGAACGGUAAGGCCCUUCGGGGUACACGAGUGGCGAACGGGUGAGUAACACGUGGGUGAUCUGCCCUGCACUUCGGGAUAAGCCUGGGAAACUGGGUCUAAUACCGGAUAGGACUCCGGACUGCAUGGUCUGGGGUGGAAAGCUUUUGCGGUGUGGGAUGGGCCCGCGGCCUAUCAGCUUGUUGGUGGGGUGAUGGCCUACCAAGGCGACGACGGGUAGCCGGACUGAGAGGGUGACCGGCCAGACUGGGACUGAGAUACGGCCCAGACGCCUACGGGUGGCAGCAGUGGGGAAUAUUGCACAAUGGGCGCAAGCCUGAGGCAGCGGCGCCGCGUGAGGGAUGACGGCCUUCGGGUUGUAAACCUCUUUCAGCAUCGACUAAGCGAAAGUGACGUUAGGUGCAGAAGAAGGACCGGCCAACUACGUGCCAGCAGCCGCCGUAA